CGCGGCCUAUCAGCUUGUUGGUGGGGUAGUGGCUUACCAAGGCUUUGACGGGUAGCCGGCCUGAGAGGGUGACCGGCCACAUUGGGACUGAGAUACGGCCCAGACUCCUACGGGAGGCAGCAGUGGGGAAUAUUGCACAAUGGGCGGAAGCCUGAUGCAGCAACGCCGCGUGCGGGAUGACGGCCUUCGGGUUGUAAACCGCUUUCGCCUGUGACGAAGCGUGAGUGACGGUAAUGGGUAAAGAAGCACCGGCUAACUACGUGCCAGCAGCCGCGGUGAUACGUAGGGUGCGAGCGUUGUCCGGAUUUAUUGGGCGUAAAGGGCUCGUAGGUGGUUGAUCGCGUUGGAAGUGUAAUCUUGGGGCUUAACCCUGAGCGUGCUUUCGAUACGGGUUGACUUGAGGAAGGUAGGGGAGAAUGGAAUUCCUGGUGGAGCGGUGGAAUGCGCAGAUAUCAGGAGGAACACCAGUGGCGAAGGCGGUUCUCUGGGCCUUUCCUGACGCUGAGGAGCGAAAGCGUGGGGAGCGAACAGGCUUAGAUACCCUGGUAGUCCACGCUGUAAACGGUGGGUACUAGGUGUGGGGUCCAUUCCACGGGUUCCGUGCCGUAGCUAACGCUUUAAGUACCCCGCCUGGGGAGUACGG
Molecule: ribosomal RNA, 643 nt
Filed under: uncultured bacterium
Lineage: Bacteria
Description: bacterial SSU rRNA
Rfam family: Bacterial small subunit ribosomal RNA
Source: RNAcentral